Molecule: ribosomal RNA, 483 nt
Filed under: uncultured bacterium
Lineage: Bacteria
Description: partial 16S ribosomal RNA
Rfam family: Bacterial small subunit ribosomal RNA
Source: RNAcentral
AUUGAACGCUGGCGGCAUGCUUUACACAUGCAAGUCGAACGGCAGCGCGGGCUUCGGCCUGGCGGCGAGUGGCGAACGGGUGAGUAAUGCAUCGGAACGUGCCCAGUAGUGGGGGAUAGCCCGGCGAAAGCCGGAUUAAUACCGCAUACGACCUGAGGGUGAAAGCGGGGGACCGAAAGGCCUCGCGCUAUUGGAGCGGCCGAUGUCGGAUUAGCUAGUUGGUGGGGUAAAGGCUUACCAAGGCGACGAUCCGUAGCUGGUCUGAGAGGACGACCAGCCACACUGGACUGAGACACGGCCCAGACUCCUACGGGAGGCAGCAGUGGGGAAUUUUGGACAAUGGGGGCAACCCUGAUCCAGCCAUGCCGCGUGCGGGAAGAAGGCCUUCGGGUUGUAAACCGCUUUUGUUCGGGAAGAAAUCCUCUGGGCUAAUACCCCGGGGGGAUGACGGUACCGGAAGAAUAAGCACCGGCUAACUACGUG